UGUGUAGGCGGUUGUCUAAGUUUGGUGUGAAAUCUCCCGGCUCAACUGGGAGGGUGCGCCGAAUACUGAAUGACUAGAGUGCGGGAGAGGAAAGUGGAAUUCCUGGUGUAGCGGUGAAAUGCGUAGAUAUCAGGAGGAACACCGGUGGUGUAGACGGCUUUCUGGACCGUAACUGACGCUGAAACACGAAAGCGUGGGUAGCAAACAGGAUUAGAUACCCUGGUAGUCCACGCCCUAAACGAUGCACAUUUGGUGUGGGUCAUUCAGUUGAUCCGUGCCGGAGCUAACGCGUUAAAUGUGCCGCCUGGGGAGUACAGUCGCAAGGCUGAA
RNAcentral lists this ribosomal RNA (330 nucleotides) under uncultured bacterium. Its description in RNAcentral is "bacterial SSU rRNA". It matches the Rfam family "Bacterial small subunit ribosomal RNA", at positions 568 to 898 of the family's 1533-position model. The record is from RNAcentral.